This 251-nucleotide ribosomal RNA is filed under the name uncultured bacterium. RNAcentral's name for it is "partial small subunit ribosomal RNA". It matches the Rfam family "Bacterial small subunit ribosomal RNA", at positions 26 to 285 of the family's 1533-position model. The record is from RNAcentral.
AGGACGAACGCUGGCGGCGUGCUUAACACAUGCAAGUCGAGCGGAAAGGCCCUUCGGGGUACUCGAGCGGCGAACGGGUGAGUAACACGUGAGUAACCUGCCCCUAGCUCUGGGAUAGCUCCGGGAAACCGGGAUUAAUACCAGAUACGACCACUUUAGACAUCUGUCGUGGUGGAAAGGAUUCCGGCUAGGGAUGGGCUCGCGGCCUAUCAGCUUGUUGGUGGGUAACGCUACCGAAGGCGACGACGGUA